AGAACGAACGCUGGCGGCGUGGAUAAGGACAUGCAAGUCGAACGCUGACAUUUAGGUAGCAAUAUUCGAAUGUCGGAGUGGCGCAAGGGUGCGUAACACGUGGGUAAUUUGCCGUGAAGUUUGGGAUAACUUGCUGAAAGGCGAGCUAAUACCGGAUGUGAAUUGUUGAAGGCAUCUUCGAAAAUUCAAAGUUGGGGACCGCAAGGCCUGACGCUUUACGAUAAGCCCGCGGCCUAUCAGCUAGUUGGUGCGGUAACGGCUCACCAAGGCUAAGACGGGUAGCUGGUCUGAGAGGACGACCAGCCUCACUGGAACUGAGACACGGUCCAGACACCUACGGGUGGCAGCAGUGGGGAAUUUUGCGCAAUGGGGGAAACCCUGACGCAGCAACGCCGCGUGGAGGAUGAAGCCCCUUGGGCGUAAACUCCUUUCGAUCGGGAAGAUAAUGACGGUACCGGAAGAAGAAGCCCCGGCUAACUCGUGCCAGCAGCCGC
Molecule: ribosomal RNA, 494 nt
Filed under: uncultured bacterium
Lineage: Bacteria
Description: SSU rRNA
Rfam family: Bacterial small subunit ribosomal RNA
Source: RNAcentral